Molecule: ribosomal RNA, 301 nt
Filed under: uncultured bacterium
Lineage: Bacteria
Description: partial 16S ribosomal RNA
Rfam family: Bacterial small subunit ribosomal RNA
Source: RNAcentral
CAGCCGCCACGGUAAUACAGAGGGUGCAAGCGUUAAUCGGAAUUACUGGGCGUAAAGCGCGCGUAGGUGGUUUGUUAAGUUGGAUGUGAAAGCCCCGGGCUCAACCUGGGAACUGCAUCCAAGACUGGCAAGCUAGAGUACGGUAGAGGGUGGUGGAAUUUCCUGUGUAGCGGUGAAAUGCGUAGAUAUAGGAAGGAACACCAGUGGCGAAGGCGACCACCUGGACUGAUACUGACACUGAGGUGCGAAAGCGUGGGGAGCAAACAGGAUUAGAGACCCGAGUAGUCCCUGUCUCUUAUAC